GACGAACGCUGGCGGCGUGCUUAACACAUGCAAGUCGAACGAAGUGGCGAACGGGUGAGUAACGCGUAAUCAACCUGCCCUUCAGAGGGGGACAACAGUUGGAAACGACUGCUAAUACCGCAUACUGAAGGAGGGGAUUGCGUCUGAUUAGCUAGUUGGAGGGGUAACGGCCCACCAAGGCGAUGAUCAGUAGCCGGGGUGAGAGGGUGAACGGCCCAAUGGGGACAGAGACACGGCCCAGGUUCAUAUGGGAGGCAGCAGUGGGGGAUCAUCCGGAAUGGAGGAAAAGCGGACGGAGCAACGCCGCGUGGGUGAUGACGGCCUUCGGGUUGGAAAGAUAUGUUAAGCGGGAAGCGGUACCGGAAUAGGAAGCAACGGCUAACUACGUGCCAGCAGCCGCGGUAAUAC
RNAcentral lists this ribosomal RNA (408 nucleotides) under uncultured bacterium. RNAcentral's name for it is "partial 16S ribosomal RNA". It matches the Rfam family "Bacterial small subunit ribosomal RNA", at positions 28 to 526 of the family's 1533-position model. The record is from RNAcentral.